UACGUAGGGGGCGAGCGUUGUCCGGAAUGACUGGGCGUAAAGGGCGCGUAGGCGGCCGGAUAAGUUAGGAGUGAAAUUCCAUUUUUCAAGGAUGGAACUGCUUUUAAUACUGUCUGGCUGGAGUGCAGAAGAGGUAAGCGGAAUUCCCAGUGUAGCGGUGAAAUGCGUAGAGAUUGGGAAGAACACCAGUGGCGAAGGCGGCUUACUGGGCUGUAACUGACGCUGAGGCGCGAAAGCGUGGGGAG
RNAcentral lists this ribosomal RNA (245 nucleotides) under uncultured Bacillota bacterium. RNAcentral describes it as "uncultured Firmicutes bacterium partial 16S ribosomal RNA". It matches the Rfam family "Bacterial small subunit ribosomal RNA", at positions 524 to 768 of the family's 1533-position model. Lineage: Bacteria; Bacillati; Bacillota. The record is from RNAcentral.